Pieris rapae (cabbage white) is the source of this 1343-nucleotide long non-coding RNA. RefSeq lists it as uncharacterized. NCBI's taxonomy places the organism in Eukaryota, Metazoa, Arthropoda, Insecta, Lepidoptera, Pieridae. The transcript is spliced from 2 exons. The record is from RefSeq and is a predicted model, not a curated record.
GCCGCCAACAUCUAAAAGAAUUUUCCUCUCUGAUAGAAGAUUUACAAUGAAAUUAUUUAAAAAAUAAGGAACCUUUAAUUUAUCUAAUUUACUUUUUAGAAUAUGUAACAAAACAUUAUCAUAAGCCGAAUUAAUAUCCAAGAAAGCUGCGACUACUGACUUUUUAUUUGAGAAAGCAUUACGAAUGUCCGUGACUAAUAUGCCUAAAUUGUCACACACACUUUUACCUUUUCGAAAUCCAAACUGAGUUGGUGACAGAUAUUUAUUAUUUUCUAUAUACCAUUCAAGCCGAUUUUUAAUUAAAUGUUCAACAACUUUUGUUAUCACCGAUGACAAGACUAUAGGACGGUAUGAUUUAAUAUCAGAUCGAAUCUUAGACGGUUUUAAAAAUGGCAGCACUAUUUGACUUCGCCAAGAUGGCGGUAUGUCAUUUGUCAAUAGAACUUUAUUUAUUAAAUUUAAAAAGUAAUUUAAUCCAUUUUCGCCAAGGUGAGACAAAAAGGAAUAUGGGAUCCCAUCUUCCCCAGGAGCACUGUCUUUAACGUAAUUUAAUACACCUUUUAAUUCUAAUAACGUAAAAGGUAGAUUUAGUGAGGAAGGGACAACAUCAGAGUUAUUUUGUGUAGAAGAGUGGAUGAGAUCUGGAGCAGAAGGAGGAGCCAAGCGAUCAAGGAAUUGAUCAGCUAAUUCUAUAGGAAGCAACGACGGGUUAGAAGGAUUGAUAGCUGACCUGAAUCUUUUGAUAUUUCGCCAAAUGACAGAAGAAUUUAUUCCAGGGAAAUGAAAUGAUUAUGGGAUAAUGAUCACUAUUGUAAGAUGAACACAAAGUAGACCAAGAGAGAGAAGAUGCUAAAUUGGGAGUACAGAUGGACAGGUCAAUGGCACUAAUUACUUCACCAGGCUUUGUAAGGCGAGUAGGAGAACCCGUAUUUAAAAUGCACAGGUUAUACAUGUCUAAGAUAUCCAAUAAUUCAUACCCGUACCUAUUAGAUACUGAACUACCCCACGAUGUAUGAUGAGAGUUGAAAUCACCCAGAAUCAUGAAAGGCUGAGGGAGAACUGAAAUUAAGUUUUUUAUUUCAUUGAAUAUUUGCAAGGAGGGGUGAGGGACAUAUACAGAGACAAAACAGAUACCAUCAACAAUAGCUGUAAUGAUAGAAAAGCUGUUACUAUGUGAAGGAAGAGGGAAGGAAGAAAAGAUGCUUGAGUUUCUGAUGAGCAGGCAUACACCACCAUACCCAUCAGCCCUGUCUUCUCUUAAGCAAGAAUAACCAGGGAUUUUGAAUACCUGAUCUGGCUUUAGCCAGGUUUCAGAUAAAGAAAAAAUAAAAGGAUUAAAAUUA